CAGGCGGCCGUGCUUGUCUGUGAUAACCUCGUGCCGAUCGCACGAUCCUGUGACGGCGACAACGCAUUCGGAUGUCUGCCCUAUCAACUUUCGAUGCAAUUUUUCACGCCUACCAUGGUGACCACGGGUAACGGGGAAUCAGGGUUCGAUUCCAGAAAGGGAGCCUGAGAAAUGGCUACCACAUGUAAGGAAGGCAGCAGGCGCGCAAAUUACCCACUCCCAACGCGGGGAGGUAGUGA
Molecule: non-coding RNA, 239 nt
Organism: Pelobates cultripes (western spadefoot toad)
Lineage: Eukaryota; Metazoa; Chordata; Amphibia; Anura; Pelobatidae
Source: the annotation of a GenBank genome assembly